This 4760-nucleotide long non-coding RNA is filed under the name Olea europaea subsp. europaea. The record is from RNAcentral. Lineage: Eukaryota; Viridiplantae; Streptophyta; Magnoliopsida; Lamiales; Oleaceae.
CCCAUCCUGUUCAUUCCCUAAAUCUCGUUUGUUUGCCUCAGUCUCUUCCUCGGACCUCUCUCUUUUCCCCACCAAUUCAUUCAUUCAUUUUUUUCUUCAACAAAUCACCCUCGUCACCACAGAUUCAUCUCUAAAUUUUUAACUUUUGCUUGCUAAUUCUAUCCUUCUCUUUAUUCUGAAAUUUUUGUUCAAUAGUGAAAGGAAAAUUUGAAGCAUCAACGGUUUGAAUCGGGAGAUCGGUGGAGAUUGUUUCCCCUUCAUUUCCUUAAGAAGGUAAAAGAAAAUUUAUUUUUUGGGUUUUUACAUAUACUGCAACAAAGGACCAUCUAAAAUUUGUAUCUAAAAUCUCAAGAUCAUUUUUUUUUUUUUUUUUUUUUUUUUUUUGAGUUUGAGUUUGAUUAUAUGAUUUAUUUGGUGUUUUAAUGGUGUAUAGGAUAUGUCAAAUUUUGUAAAAAUUAUUUUGCUAUUUAUAUAGGUGUGAUGAAGGUGAGUUUGCUGGUUUCAUCUAUUUUGCCAGUUCUGUUGUUACUUCGUUCCUGUGAUUUUUGACUUUAACUUGUGUUUUCCUUCUCGUAAUAAUAUUUUGAAAAGAAUUCUAUAUUAAUUUUGCAUUCCUUUCAAUGGCUUUAGAGUAAGCUAUUAAUUUAUUUUGUUUGGAUUUCAUAGAAAUAAGUUGUAAUGUUUUUUGUAGAUUUCCUAUUUCCAUAAAUUACGAAGCUUUUUGAGAUUUUAUUUUCCUAUUUUACCUACAAAUUUACUAUGUUAAUUUGUAGACUUCCCACUUUCUUGACAAAUUUGGAAAAUAAGAAUUUCAUAGCCUGAAUGGCCUUGUGACUUGUUCAUAUAACAUAACGGUUCAAAGGCUAUUAAAGGAAAUUUGAAUCCUAAUUUUUUGAGAAUUUUGCAAUAUAGGUACUGAGUCAUGUUUUCCUGACAAUUUCUUGAUUCAAAGGCUUUGGGAAGAAUUGUGCCCUAGUAAGUCAUGUUUUCUCUAUUGCUUUUCAUCUUGGAAAAUCCCCCCAUGUUUGAUAGGUUCCCAAAUGCAUAAAAAACUUUAAAACAGUAAAAUAGAUGGCUGUUUCAAUUACAAUUUAGGAAUAAUCUUCGAUCAAUUAUACAUAUGUUUGAUUUUGGAGCCAUCAUAAUUUCUGAUUUUAAGUGGCAUUCGACACAAAUAUUGUUGACAUAGCUUUGUCCAACAUAAAAUUUUGUAUUUGUUCUGCACAGCUUCUGCACAGCUAGAUAUUGCUGAUAAGAUACAAAUGUUUCAUUUUGAAUAUAGGUUUAUUCCUAUAUACUCCACAAAUUAUGGAUAAAGAAUGGGUGAAUCUUAACAGGCAAUUUGUACUUUGUCGUGUAAUUUAUGUACUUAAAAUUUUAUGAUUAUAUCUUAGACCAUUAUCUUUUAAAUUUGUUAGAGCUGCACAAGAGUACAUAAAAGCUUAAAUUAUUUUUUUUUUUUUUUUUUUUUUGUCAAAACAGCUCACCAUAAUUUAGGCAAUUCAGAUAAGAUGUUAUGUCCUUGUAAAGGUUGUCAAGACUUAAGCCAUCAAUAUAUAAAUAUUGUUCAUGAGCACUUGGUCAUAAGAGGAAUGGAUCCGAAGUACACAAAUUGAUUUCACCAUGGAGAAAAACUAAUUAGUAAUGUUGAUCAUACAAGUAUGAUCGAGAUAUUCAACUUGUUUGAAGUUGCACAUACAAGUGAAGAACAUAAUGAUAAAGCUUUUGAAAAGGAUUUGGAUGACGACAUUAGUUAAUUGGUGAAGGAUGCGGAAACUACUUUGUAUCUAGGAAAUAAAAAAAUACACAAAAUUGUCUUCAACUGUGACCUUAUAUAAGCUUAAAAUCGUUAGUGGUUGGUUAGAUAAUAACUUUACGAAACUUCUAAACAUAUUACAUGAUAUUUUACUUGAAGUAAUGUAAUUCUUACAUCCACACCAAGUGUAAGAAAAUUUCUUGAAACAUUUGAUUUAGCAAAGAUGGAUGAAUCAUUAACAUGGCAUUCAACUAAUCAUAAUGUUGAUCGUAAAAUGCGUCAUCCAAUGGAUUCUCCUUCUUAGGCUUUAAUUAACAACAAGUGGCCAGAGUUUGCAAAUGAUCCACGUAAUCUUAGGUUUGAGCUUGCUGCAGAUGGUCUUAAUCCAUUUAACAAUUUCAGCUCUACCUAUAGUUGUCGGCCGGUGAUGUUGGUCAUUUACAAUCUACCACCAUGGUUAUGCAUGAAAAAAGAAAAUAUCAUGUUUUCAUUAUUAAUUCCAGGGCCUAAACAGCCUAGGAAUUAUAUAUAUUUGCAACCACUUAUAGAUGACUUGAACAAAUUAUGGAAUAUUGGAGGGAAUGUGUAUGAUGCACAUACUAAUGCAGUCUUCAAUUUGAGAGCAAUACUAAUGUGGACUAUGAUUUACCUGCUCUUGAAAAUUUAGCUGCAUGUAAAGUUAAGGGUAAGGAAGGUUGUUCUAUAUGUUCAGGGAAUACUCACUCACAUUGGUUAAAAUUCAGUAGAAACUUUGCAUACAUGGGUCAUAGAAGAUUGUCACCAUCUCAUCUGUUUAGGAAAAAGAAAUGUUAGUUUAAUGGACAUGAAGAAAAGAGAAGCAAACCUAAAAUCAUGUCCAGUAGUAACAUUCUGGUUACUCUUAAAGAUUAUGUCAACAAUUUUGGGAACGCUCAAAAAUGAAAAAGACAGAUAGCUGAUGCGAGCAUGCUAACAUGGAAAAAGAGAUCAAUCUUUUUUAACUUGCCAUAUUGGGAGGUAAACUUUUGAAACUCUUAUUUAAAUUCUUUCAAUAAUUUGAAUAUAUUUUUUAUACAAAACUAAUAAAAUCUUUUUGCUUUGUUACAUUAUUAGGUGCUACUGUUAUGUCAGAAUCUGGAUGUAAUGCAUAUUGAGAAAAAUGUAUGUGAAAGCAUCCUUGGUACAAUGUUAGAUAUAAAUGGUAAAACAAAAGAUGGAUUAGAUGCCCGUGAGGAUUUACAAGAAAUGGGAAUUAGGAAUGAGUUACAUUCGAAAUACCGAGGUGGUAAAACAUACCUUCCUCCAGCUCCACAUACGUUAUCAAGGUUAGAGAAACAAACAUUUUGCAAGAGGUUUUUUAACUUGAAGUUACCCUAUGGGUAUAGUUCAAAUGUAGCCAAUUAUAUAUCAGUAGAUGAAUGCAAAAUAAUUGGCCUCAAGUUAGAUGAUGGUCAUGUCAUCAUGCAACAAGUUUCGAUUGUAGCGUUAAGAGGAAUACAUCCUAAAGGACCGAGGUAUGCAAUUUUUAGACUAUGUGCAUUCUUUAAUAGAUUACACCAACGUGUUGCUAAUAUGGACAAAAUAUCAAUACUUGAAGAUGAAGUAGUUGAAACCUUAUGCAUUCUUGAAAGAUUCUUUCCUCCUGCAUUUUAUGAUGUCAUAAUACAAUUGGAAAGAGAAGUACGAUUAUGUGGCCUAGAUCAUUAUCGUUGGAUGUAUCCUUUUGAGAAGUAAGAAAUUUACACUUAUUUGGAUAAAUUUAUACACAUAAUUUUGUUCUUAAUACAAAUUCGUUUACUUUAUUUAAUUCUAGACAUACGAAGAUAUUCAAAGGAUGUGUGAGAAAUUACGCACGACCUGAAGACUGCACCAUGGAAUGUUAUCUUGCAGAUGAGUGCAUGAAUUUUUGUAUUGAGUUUAUACAAUAAAUGAGAGAAAUGGAUCAUCGAGAGGGAUGCAAUCAAGAUUAUGUUAGCAAUGAAAUUACUGAAGGACGCCCCAUUUUUGCUCCAAAACUUGUUACAUUAAGUAAUGAAAUAUUAGAUAUAGUACAUUGUUACAUUUUAUUCGAUACAUCUUUUGUGGAACCUUAUACGGAGUAAGUCAUUCACUUUUUCUAUCAGCUAGUAUCUAAAAUAUAAAUUAAUUUGUAAUCUCGGAUUAUUUGCUCAUUUUGAGAAUAUAUAAAGAGUAGCUGAAGCGAAACAAUAGAAGUCUUCAAAAAAAAUUGAAAGCUCGCUUUUGAAAAUGCACGCAAAAAUUUUUCCAGUUUGGUUAAAUGAGAAGGUUGUACAUAAUCUCGAUAAUUUUUAGAAUGUGUAUUUUGAAUAUCAAUAUCAUUGAUAGAUGUCUAACUUUUUUGCAGAUUAAAGUAGGUUCUACUAUGAGUAAUCAGAUGUUCUACAAUGGCUUGCAUAUGGUCCUAAAAUGCAAGUAGUCUCCUACACUGGAUAUAUUAGCAAAGGGCAAUGUUCCACAUAAAAUAUGUUGAAGAAUCUACACAAAAUAGUGGUGUAUUAAUUGAAGCAACAACCAUGUGUAAAGCUAGUGCAAAGGAUAAUGCACAAGUUUCUGAUGCUGUUGCAUUUAUGGUGUUAUUAGAGAAAUAAUUUCUUUAGAUUAGCACAUAAUGAAGAUUCCAUUCUUUAAGUGUGACUGGGCAAAUCUUGGUAAUGGUGUGAAAGUGGAUGAUUGCUUUACACUUGUAAAUUUACACCAAUGUCAAAAUAAUUUUCUAAAAGAUCUUUUUAUUUUAGCGUCACAAGCCAAACAAAUGUUUUAUUCAAGAGAAAAUGAUUCUUCUAAUUGGUACAUGGUUUUGAAAGCACCACAUCGAGGUUUUCGUGAUCUAGAAAUGUAUGAUGAGAAUGAGGAAGUCAAUAUUAAAAAUAGUGUUUCAUUGAACAUUGAUUAUGUGAAGGAGGAAGUUAGCUAUUUAAGAGUGGACUGUGAGGGUACUUUAAUUUGAUUGUUGAAACUUUUAGUUUAUAAAUGGAAUCAUAUUAUGUUAAUUCUUUAGCAAUCA